Oxyura jamaicensis (ruddy duck) is the source of this 440-nucleotide long non-coding RNA. RefSeq lists it as uncharacterized. The record is from RefSeq and is a predicted model, not a curated record. NCBI's taxonomy places the organism in Eukaryota, Metazoa, Chordata, Aves, Anseriformes, Anatidae. The transcript is spliced from 3 exons.
AGCAGCAUUUUUGCAGCACUUAGUACAAUGGUAAUUCAGUCUGUUACCUGGACUCUCAACUACCUGUCAGAGUCUGCAGGGCUCAUGGCUCAAGUCAGUCCCAGUCCCCCUGCUCCCACGAGCAAGAGGCUCUGCUGACCUUUGGAAGAUCUACCUGGACAUGGUGCCAUUAAAUGCACUGGGACUUUGCUAGCUCACUGUACCUGAUGAAUUUGUUUCAUCACCCUUGGGAGUAACUGCUGAUCUACAAAAGUUCAUAGGUUUUCAUCCUGUACCAGGGCUCUGCUGUACCAAGCAUGACACUCUUCCUCUGGAUCUGCAGGUUUCAAGAGGCUCCCCUACCACAUGUUGGCAGCUCAUGGGGGUAAGUUUCCUUUCUGUUUGUGUAUGUGGAAAGGGAGUGUCUGUAGGAACUCUGCUGGGAUCAAUCCCUGAUAACU